RNAcentral lists this ribosomal RNA (569 nucleotides) under uncultured bacterium. Its description in RNAcentral is "bacterial SSU rRNA". It matches the Rfam family "Bacterial small subunit ribosomal RNA", at positions 338 to 916 of the family's 1533-position model. The record is from RNAcentral.
CCUACGGGAGGCAGCAGUGGGGAAUAUUGCACAAUGGGCGCAAGCCUGAUGCAGCGACGCCGCGUGAGGGAUGACGGCCUUCGGGUUGUAAACCUCUUUCAGUAGGGAAGAAGCGAAAGUGACGGUACCUGCAGAAGAAGCGCCGGCUAACUACGUGCCAGCAGCCGCGGUAAUACGUAGGGCGCAAGCGUUAUCCGGAAUUAUUGGGCGUAAAGAGCUCGUAGGCGGUUUGUCGCGUCUGCUGUGAAAGACCGGGGCUCAACUCCGGUUCUGCAGUGGGUACGGGCAGACUAGAGUGCAGUAGGGGAGACUGGAAUUCCUGGUGUAGCGGUGAAAUGCGCAGAUAUCAGGAGGAACACCGAUGGCGAAGGCAGGUCUCUGGGCUGUAACUGACGCUGAGGAGCGAAAGCAUGGGGAGCGAACAGGAUUAGAUACCCUGGUAGUCCAUGCCGUAAACGUUGGGCACUAGGUGUGGGGGACAUUCCACGUUUUCCGCGCCGUAGCUAACGCAUUAAGUGCCCCGCCUGGGGAGUACGGCCGCAAGGCAAAACGUCAAAUGAAAUUGACGG